GACGAACGCUGGCGGCGUGCUUAACACAUGCAAGUCGAACGGAAAGGCCCUGCUUUUGUGGGGUGCUCGAGUGGCGAACGGGUGAGUAACACGUGAGUAACCUGCCCUUGACUUUGGGAUAACUUCAGGAAACUGGGGCUAAUACCGGAUAGGAGCUCCUGCUGCAUGGUGGGGGUUGGAAAGUUUCGGCGGUUGGGGAUGGUCUCGCGGCUUAUCAGCUUGUUGGUGGGGUAGUGGCUUACCAAGGCUUUGACGGGUAGCCGGCCUGAGAGGGGGACCGGCCACAUUGGGACUGAGGUACGGCGCAGAAGCCUACGGGAGGCAGCAGUGGGGAAUAUUGCACAAUGGGCGGAAGCCUGAUGCAGCAGCGCCGCGUGCGGGAUGACGGCCUGCGGGUUGUAAACCGCUUUCGCCUGUGACGAAGCGUGAGUGACGGUAAUGGGUAAAGAAGCAACGGCUAACUACGUG
Molecule: ribosomal RNA, 468 nt
Filed under: uncultured bacterium
Lineage: Bacteria
Description: partial 16S ribosomal RNA
Rfam family: Bacterial small subunit ribosomal RNA
Source: RNAcentral